This 253-nucleotide ribosomal RNA is filed under the name uncultured bacterium. Its description in RNAcentral is "partial 16S ribosomal RNA". It matches the Rfam family "Bacterial small subunit ribosomal RNA", at positions 524 to 776 of the family's 1533-position model. The record is from RNAcentral.
UACGUAGGGUGCAAGCGUUAUCCGGAAUUAUUGGGCGUAAAGAGCUCGUAGGCGGUCUGUCGCGUCUGCUGUGAAAACUCAGGGCUUAACCCUGAGCUUGCAGUGGGUACGGGCAGACUAGAGUGCGGUAGGGGAGACUGGAAUUCCUGGUGUAGCGGUGAAAUGCGCAGAUAUCAGGAGGAACACCGAUGGCGAAGGCAGGUCUCUGGGCAUUAACUGACGCUGAGGAGCGAAAGCAUGGGGAGCGAACAGG